GCGAAAUGGUGGUCAGCAGCCGGUGUGAUGUGAAGGGUGCAGUAGUUAAUCGGAAUGAAUGGGCGUAAAGGUUGAGUAGGGGGUUUGGUAAGGCUGCAGUGAAAUCCCCGAGGGUAACCUGGGAAUGGCAGUGGAUACUGGAAAGCUAGAGUGCGGUAGAGGGUAGUGGAAUUCCCGGUGUAGCAGUGAAGUGCGUAGAGAUCGGGAGGAACACCAGUGGCGAAGGCGGCUACCUGGACCAGCACUGACACUGAGGCACGAAAGCGUGGGGAGCAAACAGGAUCAGAUACCCUUGUAGUC
This 300-nucleotide ribosomal RNA is filed under the name uncultured Desulfurococcus sp. Its description in RNAcentral is "partial 16S ribosomal RNA". It matches the Rfam family "Bacterial small subunit ribosomal RNA", at positions 496 to 795 of the family's 1533-position model. The record is from RNAcentral. Lineage: Archaea; Thermoproteati; Thermoproteota; Thermoprotei; Desulfurococcales; Desulfurococcaceae.